GAUGAACGCUGGCGGCGUGCCUAAUACAUGCAAGUCGAGCGAACGGACGAGAAGCUUGCUUCUCUGAUGUUAGCGGCGGACGGGUGAGUAACACGUGGAUAACCUACCUAUAAGACUGGGAUAACUUCGGGAAACCGGAGCUAAUACCGGAUAAUAUUUUGAACCGCAUGGUUCAAAAGUGAAAGACGGUCUUGCUGUCACUUAUAGAUGGAUCCGCGCUGCAUUAGCUAGUUGGUAAGGUAACGGCUUACCAAGGCAACGAUGCAUAGCCGACCUGAGAGGGUGAUCGGCCACACUGGAACUGAGACACGGUCCAGACUCCUACGGGAGGCAGCAGUAGGGAAUCUUCCGCAAUGAGCGAAAGCCUGACGGAGCAACGCCGCGUGAGUGAUGAAGGUCUUCGGAUCGUAAAACUCUGUUAUUAGGGAAGAACAUAUGUGUAAGUAACUGUGCACAUCUUGACGGUACCUAAUCAGAAAGCCACGGCUAACUACGUGCCAGCAGCCGCGGUAAUACGUAGGUGGCAAGCGUUAUCCGGAAUUAUUGGGCGUAAAGCGCGCGUAGGCGGUUUUUUAAGUCUGAUGUGAAAGCCCACGGCUCAACCGUGGAGGGUCAUUGGAAACUGGAAAACUUGAGUGCAGAAGAGGAAAGUGGAAUUCCAUGUGUAGCGGUGAAAUGCGCAGAGAUAUGGAGGAACACCAGUGGCGAAGGCGACUUUCUGGUCUGUAACUGACGCUGAUGUGCGAAAGCGUGGGGAUCAAACAGGAUUAGAUACCCUGGUAGUCCACGCCGUAAACGAUGAGUGCUAAGUGUUAGGGGGUUUCCGCCCCUUAGUGCUGCAGCUAACGCAUUAAGCACUCCGCCUGGGGAGUACGACCGCAAGGUUGAAACUCAAAGGAAUUGACGGGGACCCGCACAAGCGGUGGAGCAUGUGGUUUAAUUCGAAGCAACGCGAAGAACCUUACCAAAUCUUGACAUCCUUUGACAACUCUAGAGAUAGAGCCUUCCCCUUCGGGGGACAAAGUGACAGGUGGUGCAUGGUUGUCGUCAGCUCGUGUCGUGAGAUGUUGGGUUAAGUCCCGCAACGAGCGCAACCCUUAAGCUUAGUUGCCAUCAUUAAGUUGGGCACUCUAAGUUGACUGCCGGUGACAAACCGGAGGAAGGUGGGGAUGACGUCAAAUCAUCAUGCCCCUUAUGAUUUGGGCUACACACGUGCUACAAUGGACAAUACAAAGGGCAGCGAAACCGCGAGGUCAAGCAAAUCCCAUAAAGUUGUUCUCAGUUCGGAUUGUAGUCUGCAACUCGACUACAUGAAGCUGGAAUCGCUAGUAAUCGUAGAUCAGCAUGCUACGGUGAAUACGUUCCCGGGUCU
This 1372-nucleotide ribosomal RNA is filed under the name uncultured bacterium. Its description in RNAcentral is "bacterial SSU rRNA". It matches the Rfam family "Bacterial small subunit ribosomal RNA", at positions 28 to 1381 of the family's 1533-position model. The record is from RNAcentral.